RNAcentral lists this ribosomal RNA (534 nucleotides) under bacterium EP1.42. RNAcentral describes it as "bacterial SSU rRNA". It matches the Rfam family "Bacterial small subunit ribosomal RNA", at positions 91 to 611 of the family's 1533-position model. The record is from RNAcentral.
UUUAGCGGCGGACGGGUGAGUAACACGUGGGCAACCUGCCCUGCAGAUCGGGAUAACUCCGGGAAACCGGUGCUAAUACCGAAUAGUUUGGGGCCUCUCCUGAGGCCCCACGGAAAGACGGCUUCUCGCUGUCACUGCAGGAUGGGCCCGCGGCGCAUUAGCUAGUUGGUGGGGUAAUGGCCCACCAAGGCGACGAUGCGUAGCCGACCUGAGAGGGUGAUCGGCCACACUGGGACUGAGACACGGCCCAGACUCCUACGGGAGGCAGCAGUAGGGAAUCUUCCGCAAUGGACGAAAGUCUGACGGAGCAACGCCGCGUGAGUGACGAAGGUUUUCGGAUCGUAAAACUCUGUUGUGAGGGAAGAACAAGUACCAACUAACUACUGGUACCUUGACGGUACCUCACCAGAAAGCCACGGCUAACUACGUGCCAGCAGCCGCGGUAAUACGUAGGUGGCAAGCGUUGUCCGGAAUUAUUGGGCGUAAAGCGCGCGCAGGCGGUCCCUUAAGUCUGAUGUGAAAGCCCACGGCUCA